This 2587-nucleotide long non-coding RNA is filed under the name Homo sapiens (human). RNAcentral's name for it is "HSALNT0286468". The record is from RNAcentral. Lineage: Eukaryota; Metazoa; Chordata; Mammalia; Primates; Hominidae.
GCUCCAUUUAUUAUAGUUUAAAUAUGGCAUAUAUAAUAUAUAAUAUUGCUAUACAUAUAUGUGCACAUUUAUUUCACCUUAAUUAUAACUUGACUUAUACUGGGCAUAGUUUUAUACAAAGUCUUCUGCACCAACUUACAUAAAUUGCAUGUUUCCAUAUAUCAACAUCUAUUUUCCCUAGCUGGAAAUUUCUUUAUACUUGAUUGUACAAGGAGGUUUCUCUUCGAAGGAAUUAUAAAGGUAACAUCUGCUGUUGGAAAUCUGCUCAUAUUUUAAGAAAUUACAAAGCCAAAAAUAAAUGGUAUCUCAAUGAAAACUAGAAGAAAUAACUUUUAAAAUGUCUUUGCCAUACAUUCUCUUAUCUUCCCUAUCCAUAUAUAAUGUACAUUUUUUAACCUAAAAUCCCAGUUACCUUGUAUGUCAGACAUGCUUUUCUCAGGACAGUUUGAGGUCUUUGGAAACAUCAUUAACUACUCCUUGGAAUAUGCAAUAUUUUUAAGGUUGCUUCUCAUAUUUUUGCAUUUCCUAAAAUUAAGCAUACCUGUUUACAAAAUAACCAGACACAUUAGCCUUGUACAAAGAAGUGCAGUGAGGCCACAAGUAAUGCCCACUGAAGCAGAUAAGGAUUUUUAAAAUGUGGGUGUCUUGAAUACACCUGUUUUCUGUGAUCAGUUAAAUAUAUAAAUAUAUUAGGUCUCAAAUAGCCAACAAAUCAAGUUUUCACCAACAAUUUCUUCUGCACAUAUUUGUUCUGGGUUGACUCUCAAAUUACAAAUAUCUUAUCAGCUUCUUGAAAAAUCUCUUAGAAUACACAAUCUAUGAAGAACAAAUGGAAACACUUUAUCACAAAUCCCACUUUUUUGAGGCAUCCACUAUUAGCAGCUUGAUGAGUAUAUUGGUUUAAACAUUAAAAAAAUGAUAUAUAACUGUUCAAUAAGAACUGAUGUUAUUCAGUGAAAUAAAUUUAAUCUAUAUCUCAUUAAUAUACUCCCCACAUUCCUCAGCACAAUGCUAGGCGCGCGCGCGCGCGCACACACACACACACACACACACACACACACACACACACACACUUCCAUUUCUUUUCUUCAAAUCCAUCCUCAUUGGUCCCACUACACAUAGAAUUUGGUGCCCUGAAUUCUCAAUUCAACACUAGAAAAUGAGUACUCUCCAAUAUCAUUAACUUUUCUUGAGGAACAAGAUAGUUUUUUAUGGUUAAAUCUCAUAGCAUUCUUUUACUGUUGAUCAAACCGUAAGAAUUAUAUGCAUCUGGAAAAAAAUCAGUAAGUGGAACAAAUAUAUAGCAGUAAAGAAAUGAUACUCUUAAGAAGUUUAAUAGAUAUUCCAUUGAUGUUUGUUAUAUUGCAUUCUGCUCUUUUUAUUAUAUAAUUGUACAUGUGUGGGCACAUGUGGACAGGUUGUCAGGAUUUGGUGACUUUUUACUUACAUGAUAUAUGAGGAAUAUCCUUGCAUGAUACAUGAGGAAUAUCCUUGCAACUUGAGUUGCUUCUUUCUAUCAUAGUUUUCUCAGGUCUCACAUCACAUAAGUCUCAUCAUAUGUCGUGAAAUAUGCUUCAGAAAGCUGGAUUUUCUGUUAAGUAAAAUUUGGAAAUAGAAUUUCAGAAUAGAGCCUUUAAAUCUUGCAUGUGUGUAGAAGUGUGUAUGUUUUAAAGAAAAAUACAUCUUGUAAUAUGUUGUUUUCCUAAUUAUAUAUUGAGAUGAUGCUGGUUUCUUGAUUUUUAAAAAACUUGCAAAUGUAAGCUUUUCUCAUUUUCAACAUUUCAAGGCUUUGGACAAGUGUAAGUUAAAACGUGAAGGCAAGUCAUUAGAAACAUCACUGUAGAAAAUUACACACUGUUAGUUGCUUGACUGGGGAACUUUCCAGAUAACUUCCUUUCUGCCUAUUUGCUUUUCUGAACCAAUAGGUUUAUGUGUUCAACUUGAAUUAAUAAGAAUAAUGACAGGUUUUAAAAUCUUGCCACAUGUUUUUGCAUUUCUAGAAAUAAUCAUGCUUCUUUACAAUGUACCUGCUAUAACAGCCAUGUAUGGAGAAGUGAAGCGAGGUCACAGGUAAUGCCACCUCCAGCAGACAAGAACUUUUAAAAUGUGGGUUCAUCUUCAAUCCUCUUCACUCGGUUUUGGUUCUCAUCUGUUUGUGCGUGGUCAGCUCUCCUAGCAAAAGUGCUAACCCUUCUUGGUUUGGCGGGCUGAUCCCAUUUCUCUUCAAGGUCCUCCUAGCUGCAAGCAAUUUGGUUGCACCUGGGACCUCCAGCAAGCACAUGGCAUCCUUUUAUAAGCAACCUGGUAUUGUCUGGUUCUCUGCAGUGACUCUGCUACCACAAAGGUCCUAGGCCCCAGAGCCUGAAGGCACCACGUGUCAGCCUUUCCCAGACUCUCAGGGGCGGGGAGAGAGACGAAUACCCACAGGCCCAGUACUUCGUUGGUUGGUGGCUUCCUCCAGUCCCGCCCAUACUGGGAGAAUACCAAGACCCCACCCUACAACUUCCUGGGCCUGGACUUCCUGCCAGAGGCCGACUUAGUCUUCCCUCCCCACGGGCCAGUUCCUACACCUGGACCUCACUCUGUC